This is a long non-coding RNA of Bombyx mori (domestic silkworm), 356 nucleotides long. RefSeq lists it as uncharacterized. The record is from RefSeq and is a predicted model, not a curated record. The transcript has 2 exons. NCBI's taxonomy places the organism in Eukaryota, Metazoa, Arthropoda, Insecta, Lepidoptera, Bombycidae.
GUUGAGUAAUUUGUUUUAAUUGAGUACUAUUUAUGGAGAAAUUUGAAUUUUAUUUUUGUAUUUAUUUGGGAGAUGUCGUACAGGAUGACGCAGUUUCUGUUUUGUUCGUCUAUACUCGUAAUAGUGAUCCAAAACAUUAUAUUGAUUUUUGGAGAUUCUUUUUGCAAAAUGUUAUGGAUAUGUUUAAUAUGUGUACUAUUAUUUGGAUUUAUUAGACAAUACUAUUUGGAUUGGAUUAGAAAAGAACAAAACGACACGGCUUUUGGGUGGACCUGAUCCCAUACCACUUAUUAUUUGUUUGUCCAUUACCUUGUUUGAUUGUUCGAGCUUAAUGAAGGCUUUUCUUCACAAAUUAA